RNAcentral lists this ribosomal RNA (253 nucleotides) under uncultured bacterium. Its description in RNAcentral is "partial 16S ribosomal RNA". It matches the Rfam family "Bacterial small subunit ribosomal RNA", at positions 524 to 776 of the family's 1533-position model. The record is from RNAcentral.
UACAGAGGUCUCAAGCGUUGUUCGGAUUCAUUGGGCGUAAAGGGUGCGUAGGCGGCGCGGUAAGUCGGGUGUGAAAUCUCGGAGCUUAACUCCGAAACUGCAUUCGAUACUGCGGUGCUUGAGGACUGGAGAGGAGACUGGAAUUCAUGGUGUAGCAGUGAAAUGCGUAGAGAUCAUGAGGAAGACCAGUGGCGAAGGCGGGUCUCUGGACAGUUCCUGACGCUGAGGCACGAAGGUCAGGGGAGCAAACGGG